CGGCAAUGGAGGAAACUCUGACCGAGCAACGCCGCGUGAACGAUGAAGUAUUUCGGUACGUAAAGUUCUUUUAUUAGGGAAGAAUAAGUGAUGGAAAAAUCAUUCUGACGGUACCUAAUGAAUAAGCCCCGGCUAACUAUGUGCCAGCAGCCGCGGUAAUACAUAGGGGGCAAGCGUUAUCCGGAAUUAUUGGGCGUAAAGGGUGCGCAGGCGGUUAAAUAAGUUUAUGGUCUAAGUGCAAUGCUCAACAUUGUGAUGCUAUAAAAACUGUUUAGCUAGAGUAAGAUAGAGGCAAGUGAAAUUCCAUGUGUAGUGGUAAAAUGCGUAAAUAUAUGGAGGAACACCAGUAGCGAAGGCGGCUUGCUGGGUCUUUACUGACGCUGAGGCACGAAAGCGUGGGGAGCAAACAGGAUUAGAUACCCUGGUAGUCCACGCCGUAAACGAUGAGUACUAAACGUUGGGUAAAACCAGUGUUGAAGUUAACACAUUAAGUACUCCGCCUGAGUAGUACGUACGCAAGUAUGAAACUUAAAGGAAUUGACGGGACUCCGCACAAGCGGUGGAUCAUGUUGUUUAAUUCGAAGGUACCCGAAAAACCUUACCAGGUCUUGACAUGCUUCUGCAAAGCUGUAGAAACACAGUGGAGGUUAUCAGUUGCACAGGUGGUGCAUGGUUGUCGUCAGCUCGUGUCGUGAGAUGUUGGGUUAAGUCCCGCAACGAGCGCAACCCAUUAUUGUUAGUUACCAGCACGUAAUGGUGGGGACUUUAGCAAGACUGCCAGUGAUAAAUUGGAGGAAGGUGGGGACGACGUCAAAUCAUCAUGCCCCUUAUGACCUGGGCUACAAACGUGAUACAAUGGCUGUUACAAAGAGUAGCUGAA
Molecule: ribosomal RNA, 880 nt
Filed under: Cuban tomato phytoplasma
Lineage: Bacteria; Bacillati; Mycoplasmatota; Mollicutes; Acholeplasmatales; Acholeplasmataceae
Description: bacterial SSU rRNA
Rfam family: Bacterial small subunit ribosomal RNA
Source: RNAcentral